Molecule: ribosomal RNA, 459 nt
Filed under: uncultured bacterium
Lineage: Bacteria
Description: partial 16S ribosomal RNA
Rfam family: Bacterial small subunit ribosomal RNA
Source: RNAcentral
CCUACGGGUGGCAGCAGUGAGGAAUAUUGGUCAAUGGCCGCAAGGCUGAACCAGCCAAGUCGCGUGAGGGAUGACGGCCCUAUGGAUUGUAAACUUCUUUUGUCAGGGAGUAAAGUGCGCCACGUGUGGUGCUUUGUGAGUACCUGAUGAAUAAGCAUCGGCUAACUCCGUGCCAGCAGCCGCGGUAAUACGGAGGGUGCGAGCGUUAUCCGGAUUUAUUGGGUUUAAAGGGUGCGUAGGCGGAAUGUUAAGUCAGCGGUAAAAUGUCGGGGCUCAACCCGGUCGUGCCGUUGAAACUGGCGUUCUUGAGUGAGCGGGAGGUAUGCGGAAUGCGUGGUGUAGCGGUGAAAUGCAUAGAUAUCACGAAGAACUCCGAUUGCGAAGGCAGCAUACCGGAGCGCAACUGACGCUGAUGCUCGAAAGCGUGGGUAUCGAACAGGAUUAGAUACCCUGGUAGUC